CUUUUAGAAUAAGUAUAUCCCAUGCAAUAUUUGGGAUAUACUUAUAGUAAAA
Molecule: microRNA precursor, 52 nt
Filed under: Myotis lucifugus (little brown bat)
Lineage: Eukaryota; Metazoa; Chordata; Mammalia; Chiroptera; Vespertilionidae
Description: mir-1302 microRNA precursor family
Rfam family: mir-1302 microRNA precursor family
Source: Rfam by way of RNAcentral